This 301-nucleotide long non-coding RNA is filed under the name Elaeis guineensis (African oil palm). RNAcentral describes it as "long non-coding RNA (EGUI_LNC024782)". Lineage: Eukaryota; Viridiplantae; Streptophyta; Magnoliopsida; Arecales; Arecaceae. The record is from RNAcentral.
GGGGAGGGUGUCAGCCGACAGAGAUACAGCUGAAAAAAUUAUUUGAUUAAUUAUAUUUAUUUCAUAAAUUUUUUAAUGUUAUUGCUGAAAAUUUUUAAUUAUUUGAUUAAUUAAUUUUUUCACUAACACAAUGCACAUUGCUGUUACUUAUUAUAAAUUAAUUAUUUUAUAUGCUAUUUUGUAUACUUUUAUUUAUUAUAAUUAAAUAUAAAAAAUAUUUUUUUUUCAUUGCUAUUUUGUUGUUGUGUGGCAGUGAAUAAGUUAUAGACCCACAGAUGGUCGUCCAUCUCUAUGUUGACGU